Myotis davidii is the source of this 811-nucleotide long non-coding RNA. RefSeq lists it as uncharacterized. The record is from RefSeq and is a predicted model, not a curated record. Lineage: Eukaryota; Metazoa; Chordata; Mammalia; Chiroptera; Vespertilionidae. The transcript is spliced from 2 exons.
CCGCCUGCAGCAGCCCCGCCCAGGGUGCCAGCCCACCCCGUGGCCCUUAUGAAGAGGGCUGGAAGAUGGUCCCAGGCCCCCAGCAGCCGGAGGAGGAGCCCCCCGCCGCCGGCCCGCGAUGGAGGAGCCCACGCCCGAGCCCGUCUACGUGGACGUGGACAAAGGACUGACCCUGGCCUGCUUCGUCUUCCUCUGCCUCUUCCUGGUGGUCAUGAUCAUCCGCUGCGCCAAGGUCAUCAUGGACCCGUACAGCGCCAUCCCCACGUCCACCUGGGAGGAGCAGCACCUGGAUGAUUGAUGGGGGCGGGUGGCCGCUGGGUCCCCGGGCACCGGGCGCUCAGCCCGUCCACACGGGAGGGGACGCGGUCCCCCUGGGGGCGGAGAAAGCCCCCCUUGGCCUCGCCUGCUCCCACCCGCGCGUCAGGGUGACACGCUCGGGGUGCCCCAGGGGUUCCAGCGGGGGGCGAGUUUGGGGAACGCGGUGACUAUGGGCCGGGCACCUCCCCGGGCUCCAGCGUGACACGACCGUGGCCUCCUUUUCGGGGGCCCUCUGCUCAUCAGAUGCCAACCGGCCCGUGCACUGGCCCUGGGGGGCCCCCAGCGAGGACGUCCCCCCCUACCCAAGCCCCUCCAGGGGGCCAUUGUGAACAGGGGUGAGGAGGAUCCCCCCGAAAAGCCCCAUAGAAGGCACGGGGGCUGCUCCCCGGCUGCAUUUUUAAAAACUGCAAACAGAGAGGGGUCUAUUUUUCCUGUUGCCGGUGAAGUGUGCGUUUCAGAAAUUUGGGGGGAAAUACAGAAACCUAGAACCCCG